ACCUCAGUAACGGCGAGUGAAGCGGUAACAGCUCAAAUUUGAAAUCUGGGUCUUUCAGGCUCCGAGUUGUAAUUUGUAGAAGAUGCUUUGGGUGCGGCCCCGGUCUAAGUUCCUUGGAACAGGACGUCAUAGAGGGUGAGAAUCCCGUAUGUGAUCGGUGGCUUGCGCCCGUGUAAAGCUCUUUCGACGAGUCGGGUUGUUUGGGAAUGCAGCUCUAAAUGGGUGGUAAAUUUCAUCUAAAGCUAAAUAUUGGCCAGAGACCGAUAGCGCACAAGUAGAGUGAUCGAAAGAUGAAAAGGACUUUGGAAAGAGAGUUAAACAGUACGUGAAAUUGUUGAAAGGGAAGCGCUUGCAACCAGACUUGCGCGGGGUUGAUCAUCCGGGGUUCUCCCCGGUGCACUCGGCCUCGCUCAGGCCAGCAUCGGUUUCGGUGGUUGGAUAAAGGCCUUGGGAAUGUGACUUCUUUCGGGGAGUGUUAUAGCCCUCGGUGCAAUGCAGCCUACCGGGACCGAGGACCGCGCUUCGGCUAGGAUGCUGGCGUAAUGGUUGUAAGCGACCCGUCUUGAAACACGGACCAAGGAGUCUAACAUCUAUGCGAGUGUUUGGGUGUCAAACCCAUACGCGUAAUGAAAGUGAACGGAGGUGAGAACCCUUAAGGGUGCAUCAUCGACCGAUCCUGAUGUCUUCGGAUGGAUUUGAGUAAGAGCAUAGCUGUUGGGACCCGAAAGAUGGUGAACUAUGCCUGAAUAGGGUGAAGCCAGAGGAAACUCUGGUGGAGGCUCGCAGCGGUUCUGACGUGCAAAUCGAUCGUCAAAUUUGGCAUAGGGCGAAAGACU
Molecule: ribosomal RNA, 836 nt
Filed under: Pezicula hamamelidis
Lineage: Eukaryota; Fungi; Ascomycota; Leotiomycetes; Helotiales; Dermateaceae
Description: LSU rRNA
Rfam family: Eukaryotic large subunit ribosomal RNA
Source: RNAcentral